AGUGACAGGUCAUGAAAGAUAAAGCUACAGACCCACUGGAGAUGUGGGCCAGCCGAAGUUUCAACCAGAUGUCGCCAGAGUGGCCAGUCUCCCCCAGGCAAAGCAAAGCAAAGCGAUAGUUCCUGGACAACUCCUUUCGUGGUGGACUUCCUGAGGCCCUCUGCGCCGGCUCCCAGCUCUACAGAGCUUGUUCCUGGGGACCAGUUACUCCAGGCUUUGGAUCUCCCCACCUCAAUAGUUCGCAGGGAAGUUCUCCAUCAUUCCACUGGGGCCAGGCCUUGGGUUCCACUCCAGAAGCCCCGAAGCACCCUUCCUCCUGUCCAGAGUCCUCUCUCCUACCUACUUGGGCUUAGGCUCAGCCCACAUGUGGGCUGGGAGGGGAUGGAAGAGACAGGUGGGCCCCUAGAUGCACUGGCUGGAUUGCAGACAUAUUUAUGCUCCAUUUCUAAUGUCUGGUCCUUCCUGUGGUCCCACUGAUGGGGGAACAGAAAGGAAACAGGAGGGGGCUGGGGUGACAGGCACAGCCCACUAGGCUGCCCUCCUCUGCCUCACCCUCCCUCGCCUGGGCCCCAGCUGAGCCCAUCAUCAGAGGCCUCCAGGAGCUGGGGCCACAGUCUGCGUGGGUCUGCCCCUCCCCUCACCCCAGCCUAGAAGACUCCACCUCUCCCAGGUCCUGGCUGGGAUCCGAAGGCCCCGGGCAAGUGGGGGAAGGGGAGCCACUCCUACUUUCCCAGCAGCUGCUGCUGCCUCUUCCUGUUUUGCUAAAACUUUGGCUCCGGACCCAAGGGGGUGGGGGAAAGUCGCCAGGCGCUCUCGCCCCCCCCCAAAGGUCAAACUCAUCCCCCUGGUCCUCUUAGCUAGUUAUUUAUAGCUCCCCAGGCCCUGGCUGAGGAGCUACAUCUCUCCUCCCCCAAAUGUCAGCAGCUGUGGCCAUUGCCCCAGGGAUGCAGCCAGAUGUGCUGAUCACUCCAGAUGCGCAGUGCCAGGAUUUGGGAGCGCAGGCCAGGCCCUUUCUCCUGGACAUUCCCUGCUGCCUGGUUCAUCCUCCACUCUGAGUCAACAAACCUGAGUCCUGGGGGAUGGGGGGACAUCAGGAAGUUCCCACCUAUUUUCUCCACUCCCAUAGCCUGAUCCCAAGACGGGACAGCUCGGGCUAUAGACCCACGUGGAUGUCUUUGCAUAAAUUAGGACAGGACUCAUUUGGAGACUGGAUUUGUAGAAGUCAGCUGCAGUUCAGAGGGACAGAAGCGUCAGGAUGCUGGAUGCUGUCUUCUUACUAACGUCAGCACGGAGAUCCACUCCUGAGAGUCCAGCGUCCAAAGAGCAGGCUCUGCGAUUCUUUUCUUUGGCUACAUCCUGCUCUCCAGGAGAUGAUGAAUUCCCCAGGGAGAGGACUGCAGCUUCCUUUGCCUCUGUGCCAGGAAGUUGCUCAACAAAUAAGAGAUUAUACGUAAUGAAAAAGAGUUGAAGUCAGUGGUGGUCACGUGUGGGUGGAUCCUUCAAGGUUGUAGCAAGGGGAGAAGUCCAAACCCAUCCUAAAAGACACUCCUGGCAAAGAGAGUGUCAGGACCUCCUCAAACGCUUGCCUAGAGAUUCCAAGGCCUGAGAAGGUCCUGCUGCGGCCUGUUGCAAGGCUGAACUCCCGAGCCCACCAGUGGGUGGACCACAGCAUCCCUGCAGGGGCCACUGGAGCACGUAAUUGUGAGCUGGCUACAGAAAGGCAUUUUGCAACUCAGACGAAUUUCUUCUCGCUCAUGAUUAGGGUAUGGCCCAGUGGCUGCCUCCCUGACUGUAAUCUCUGCUGGCACAGGCAUCUCCGGGGCUGGGCAGUGGGGGCUGUGGAAGGAGGGCUGACCUAGAAGCCUGGACGCCGGAGUUCUCUGCCCGCUCCUCGCCAGGGAUUAACCAUGGCAUGGCUGGCAGGGAGACUGGGUUCUCAGUUUCCUCAUCUGUAAAAGGAGUGAUGUGAUUAGAUUAGAGCGGCCCAAACCUAACCACACCUUAGGAUUACCUGGGGAGCUUCAGAUUACUAGGUACUCCCUUCACCCCUUGCAUCUGCUGGGGGCUGUGAGAUGGCCCAGGAAUCUGUUUUUCACAGGCUCUUCUACAUGAUUUUUUUGGGGCCACACCCACAGCCUGUGGAAGUUCUGGGGCCAGGGAUCGAACCUGCGACCCUAGCCACUGCAGUGACAAUGCCGGAUUCUUAACCUGCUGAGCCACAGGGAAACUCCUACAGGAUUUUGACAUAAUGUCAAGUAUGGGGGAUCCUACAGACUAUAAAUAUAAAUAGACUGUAAAUAUAAAUCACUUGCAGCUCUUAGGAGAAAAGAUUCUAGUAAAUGGAAUGGCUGUAACAAGAGGCUUUGGUGCUGUGGGGUUUUAUCAGAGGGCAAAUGGUGGGUAGUUUAUUUCAUCAUCAUCAUCACCAUCAAUUACUAUUUUUUCCAGGCCUUUUUUGGCUGCACCUGCAGCAUGCAAAAGCAUGCGGGGCCAGGGAUCAAACCAGCACCCCCGUGGUGACAACACCAGAUCCUUAACCCGCUGCACCACCAGGGAACCCCUCCAGUUUUAUUGAGAUAUAAUUGACCUACAUCACUGUGUAAGGUGUACAGCGCAAUUUGAUUUACAUACAUCAGGAAAGGGUUAUCAGACUAAGUUUAGUAAAUAUGUAUCAACUCAUAUAGAUACAAAAUUAAAGAAAUGGAAACACCCUUUUCUUCCUGCGAGCAGAGGACUCAGGAUUGAGGCCCUCGCUUACCUCAAGGCUGGAGCCGGGCUGGGAGAGAAGGGAAGGGAGGAAUGGGCCGUCCCUGUAGGUGGGGCCUCUUGGCACGGGGACCUUUCUCUCUCACUCUCCUGGGUGGAGUUUGGCUGCACGGGCUUUGGCACCAGCCUCUGGAGCUGAGAGAGUGUCUUCCCAUCCGUAUUCCUCCCCCACUUCGGUUUCAGCCCAGAGGACAGCCCCCUUCUCCUCCUCCUGCCCUGACUUCCUCCCCAGGCUCCCUCACCAACCUCAUUCCUAAGCCUCGCUAAUCUGUUUGCCACCCUCUGCUUCCUUGCCUCGCCCUUGCUCAUGCCAUUCUCUCCACCUGGAAUGUCACCCCCGCCCCCCAACACCGAUUCACAUUUCUGGGCUCCUUCGAAACCCAGCUCCAGACUGGCUGACGUCGUUGGAGCUGUGAUCUGCCCAGGUCGCUCCUCUUCACGAUAGACUCAUUUAUGCUUGAAAUCACAGAAUCAGAGAACAGCUUUAGACUCAGAAAGAAAUAAGUACAGAUGACCUAAACCAGCUCUCGCAUUCAAUGGACAGAAACCCUGAGGCCCAGAGAGGUCUUGACUCGGCCAAGGUCACACAGUCGUGAGGUUUGCUGGUGGUGGUGGUGGCGGCGAACAGUUGGCUUCACAAGAGGCUUUCAAGUAUCCUACGUCUUUGUUUUAUUUCCUCGACACGUGGUGAUGCCUAUGAGGGCAGAGGUGAUGUUGCUGUUUUAAUUGGUGUUCUUAAGCUCCACGGUGCUGUGUAUGUGCAGGCAACUGUAAUAGUUCUAAAACUCGCAGGGGUGCACAUUUUGCAUAUGAUCUCAGACCAGCCCUGAGCGGUAGGUCACCAAGGCAUUGCUAUCUUACUGAGCAGGAAACUGAGACUUAGAAAGGUGUGACCCAGGAAGUUAAUGGCAGAACCGGGGCCAAAACGCAAGUUCCCUGCCUCCCAGCCUCAGCCCAGGACCCUGACACCCAUGAUGCUGUUCUUCUAGAGCCUUCCUGAGGUUCCCGGCAGGGGACCUAGAGUAGUCAAAGGGGUGGCCUCCGCCGUCUUUCGCCUUCCUUGUGAUUUCUUCACUUUGGGGUUGAGCAGACCUUGCCUCUGGCCUCCUACCCCUCCCCAUCCUGUCCCACCGCGUUCUCCUUGUGUCCCCCCACAGCCUGUUGGCACAUUGACCCAUACGCAUACAUGCUCAGAGCUGCAGGUGUCUAGGGCAACAGACCACAGGGGAAACCACAUCACCUUUGUUGACACUGGAGGGAGGCAGGGGGGCCGGGAAAGAACCUGCUUACGUCUCUCCACCUGCCUCUGUCCCCGCAGUCAUCUCACCUCCCAGCCUGGUGGGUCAUCUGGACUUGACCCAUGGCCCAGCCUCUUCCUGAGGACCCAUCCAAACCUGGCCCGGGAGGAUGUAUCGCCCCUUCUCACAGAUCCUGAAAUCCUGGAGGGAGGUGGGGCGGUCUGCCUAGCUGCACCCCAAAGCCACACCCCCAAUCCUAGCCAGUUUACUGACCUAGCUCCUCUGAUUCCACCUGCGCAGUGCAGCAGACAAAGGUGGAAACCAGGAAUGAGAGGACAUGGCUGGGGGUCGGUAAGGAAGGAAAUUUGACAUCUAGGCCAUCACUCCUACAUCAAAGGGGACCGCUAGGGAGUUCCUGUCGUGGCUCAGCGGUUAAUGAACCCAACUGGCAUCCAUGAGGACGCAGGUUCGGUCCCUGGCCUCGCUCUGUGGGUUAAGGAUCAGGUGUUGCCGUGAGCUGUGGUUUAGGCCGGUGGCUACAGCUCCAAUUAGACCCCUAGUCUGGGAACCUCCACACGCCGCAGGUGCGGCCCUAAAAAGACAAAAAGACACCAAAAAAAGGUGGAGGGGGGACCUCUAGUAACCAGGCUACACGGGAUCUGUGGUGUUUGGACCUGCUGAAAGAAGCUGCACAGGCUCUGAAUCAGGCCCAUUUGGGAUUAAGUCACUUGCUGGCUCUGUGGCCUUGGGCAAAUCAUUUUGUGUUUCUGAGCUUUAGUUUGCUAACUAAAACAAUGGGGAUAAUAAUGAGAUAUAAGUGAAAGGUCCUGGAACAGCACAGGAUACCAAGGAGACGCUCAAUAAAUCCUAAUUACCCUCCCUCCCUCCUUUCCUUCCACUUGUUGCAUCUGGCUCCAUGAAACCCUUUAUUUGGAAUUGGAGCUCUACCUCCCCUAUUUACGUGCAAGUCCAAACCCUGAGCAUUGGCAUCUGAUCCCAGGUUCAGAAACAGGAAUGCACAUCCCCACAGCCCAAGGAAGUGGCUGUCCCUCGGAGAGUGCACCCAGGCCAAGGACGAACACCUUCUGAUCGGCCUUGUGGAGAGGGUGUGAGAAGUCCAGGUUAGGAAAGGGCUUGUGGCUUCAGACACCACAUCGAGAAAGCGGGUCAGGAAUGGUCUCAGAGGCCUGCGGUUUAGACCGAUGCCUUCGGAUGGAGCUUUGAACCCUGGCACAAGGUGGGCGCCCAAUAACACUUGUUGAAUGAACGCAUGGCCUCAGCACUUACUAGUUGUGUAACGUUGGUCAUGUUUCUCAACUUUUAUGAGUCGCACUUUAAUCACAAACAUAACAAGGAUUACUGCUAAGAAUAAAUGAUCUCAUGUUUGCCAGGGGGCUGGCAUAGGGCUGCUGCAUGGCACACAGUCAGUAAAUGGUAGCUAAGUAAGGGGAUGUGAGAUAAACGAGAAAGAGAAGGUCAAAGAGGCUCAGAACCCCAAAGCAAGCGGAAGGUGGCUGCCUUCAGGCUUCGUACUGGCCAGAGACUCCAAGAAGACUCUGGGGAGCCAAGGCAGGUCCUGUGGGGCUAAUCUCUUCUGCUAGGUGCUUAGCUGAGCAGUCUGUGAGAGGCCUGGACUCAAGAGC
RNAcentral lists this long non-coding RNA (5647 nucleotides) under Sus scrofa (pig). RNAcentral describes it as "lncRNA (ENSSSCG00030009290.1)". Lineage: Eukaryota; Metazoa; Chordata; Mammalia; Artiodactyla; Suidae. The record is from RNAcentral.